Small nucleolar RNA from Gossypium raimondii (Peruvian cotton), 107 nucleotides. It matches the Rfam family "Plant small nucleolar RNA R71". Rfam says of the family: R71 is a member of the C/D box family of snoRNAs containing the C (UGAUGA) and D (CUGA) box motifs. Multiple nearly identical copies of this snoRNA have been identified in Arabidopsis, and it is thought to function as a 2'-O-ribose methylation guide for 18S ribosomal RNA. Lineage: Eukaryota; Viridiplantae; Streptophyta; Magnoliopsida; Malvales; Malvaceae. The record is from Rfam.
AUUCCAUGAUGAGGGCAUUUUCGUAACAAUUCUUUAAAUAUUUCUCACGCCUUAUACAAGGACUCGUCAUCUAUCUGUUGGAAAGCAGUGAUUUCAUUCCACAACUU